CAUCCAGCUCCACUCCGAACCUGGAAAUUAAGCAGUCGCGGGCCACAUCAGUACUGGGCUGGGCGACUUCCCGGGAACGUGCGGUGCUUGCUUCUU
This 96-nucleotide ribosomal RNA is filed under the name Trichomonas vaginalis G3. Lineage: Eukaryota; Parabasalia; Trichomonadida; Trichomonadidae. The record is from RNAcentral.